RNAcentral lists this unclassified non-coding RNA (874 nucleotides) under Oidiodendron mellicola. Its description in RNAcentral is "Oidiodendron sp. 1 ERA-2017 sequence contains 28S rRNA gene". It matches the Rfam family "Eukaryotic large subunit ribosomal RNA", at positions 50 to 941 of the family's 3401-position model. Lineage: Eukaryota; Fungi; Ascomycota; Leotiomycetes; Myxotrichaceae. The record is from RNAcentral.
GCGGAGGAAAAGAAACCAACAGGGAUUGCCUCAGUAACGGCGAGUGAAGCGGCAACAGCUCAAAUUUGAAAUCUGGCCCCCUCGGGGCCCGAGUUGUAAUUUGGAGAAGAUGCUUCGGGUGUGGCCCCGGUCUAAGUUCCUUGGAACAGGACGUCACAGAGGGUGAGAAUCCCGUACGUGCCCGGUGGCCGCGCCCGUGUGAAGCUCUUUCGACGAGUCGAGUUGUUUGGGAAUGCAGCUCAAAAUGGGUGGUAAAUUUCAUCUAAAGCUAAUAUUGGCCAGAGACCGAUAGCGCACAAGUAGAGUGAUCGAAAGAUGAAAAGCACUUUGGAAAGAGAGUUAAACAGUACGUGAAAUUGUUGAAAGGGAAGCGCUUGCAACCAGACUUGCGCGCGGGCGAUCAUUCGGUGUUCGCACCGGUGCACCUUGAGAGCCGCGCAGGCCAGCAUCGGUUUGGGUGGCUGGACAAAGGCCUCGGGAAUGUAGCCCCCCUCGGGGGGUGUUAUAGCCCGAGGCGCAAUGCAGCCUACCCGGACCGAGGACCGCGCUUCGGCUAGGAUGCUGGCGUAAUGGUUGUAAGCGGCCCGUCUUGAAACACGGACCAAGGAGUCUAACAUCUAUGCGAGUGUUUGGGUGUCAAACCCAUACGCGGAAUGAAAGUGAACGGAGGUGAGAGCCCUUAAGGGUGCAUCAUCGACCGAUCCUGAUGUCUUCGGAUGGAUUUGAGUAAGAGCAUAGCUGUUGGGACCCGAAAGAUGGUGAACUAUGCCUGAAUAGGGUGAAGCCAGAGGAAACUCUGGUGGAGGCUCGCAGCGGUUCUGACGUGCAAAUCGAUCGUCAAAUUUGGGCAUAGGGGCGAAAGACUAAUCGAACC